AGACGUCGAACUGCGAGGUC
Molecule: non-coding RNA, 20 nt
Filed under: Arabidopsis thaliana (thale cress)
Lineage: Eukaryota; Viridiplantae; Streptophyta; Magnoliopsida; Brassicales; Brassicaceae
Source: RNAcentral